Molecule: long non-coding RNA, 366 nt
Organism: Bos taurus (domestic cattle)
Lineage: Eukaryota; Metazoa; Chordata; Mammalia; Artiodactyla; Bovidae
Source: Ensembl
CCUUCCCCAACCAAACACACUCUAUUUACUGCCCCUACUCUGCAUUCCUUCUGCGGUCAGGUCGUUCCGGUUUUCCUGCUGCUUUCAAAUCUCUGGUUCCAGGGGCGGGAAGGGACCCAGGAAGGUCGUGGGCGCCCAGUCUUCUUUAGGUUGAGAGAGCGGAGAAGGCUAGGGAGGCCUCAGGGACGAGACUAGGUACUUGACAGAAAAGAGACAGGUCCGCGUACACCUCCACUCCACGGUCACCAGGGAAGGCGGAGUCUGAUCACGCCCCCUCGCGACCUCGUUGCCCCGCCCCCAGACCCCUCGUUCCGCCCUCUACCGCCAAGCAGGGAGUCCAGCGCGGCCGACUAGGGCCCUUCACGA